GAUGAAGAACGCAGCGAAAUGCGAUAAGUAAUGUGAAUUGCAGAAUUCAGUGAAUCAUCGAAUCUUUGAACGCACCUUGCGCCCUUUGGCUAUUCCGAAGGGCAUGCCUGUUUGAGUAUCGUGAACACCUCAACUCUCAUGGUUUGCCAUGAUGAGCUUGGACUUGGGGGUUUUGCUGGCCUUCGGUCGGCUCCUCUCAAACGGAUCAGCUUUCCAGUGUUUGGUGGCGUCACGGGUGUGAUAACUAUCUACGCCUGUGGUUUUCUGCCAGAUAACCUUCAGCGAUGGAGGUUCGCUGGGGCUCAUAAAUGUCUCUCUUCAGUGGAGACAGCUUUUUGGACGUUUGAUCUCAAAUCAGGUAGGACUACCCGCUGAACUUAAGCAUAUCAUAAGCGGAGGA
This 400-nucleotide unclassified non-coding RNA is filed under the name soil metagenome. RNAcentral's name for it is "partial contains 5.8S ribosomal RNA, internal transcribed spacer 2, and large subunit ribosomal RNA". The stretch from base 1 to 121 matches the Rfam family "5.8S ribosomal RNA", at positions 35 to 154 of the family's 154-position model. The record is from RNAcentral.